RNAcentral lists this long non-coding RNA (65 nucleotides) under Parus major (Great Tit). RNAcentral's name for it is "lncRNA (ENSPMJG00000010150.1)". Lineage: Eukaryota; Metazoa; Chordata; Aves; Passeriformes; Paridae. The record is from RNAcentral.
ACAAUGUGUAUGCAAAUUGCCGAAUUAACAGAAAAAAGAGCGUGUAUCCAAUGAACAUGGGCCUU